RNAcentral lists this ribosomal RNA (468 nucleotides) under uncultured bacterium. RNAcentral's name for it is "partial 16S ribosomal RNA". It matches the Rfam family "Bacterial small subunit ribosomal RNA", at positions 28 to 507 of the family's 1533-position model. The record is from RNAcentral.
GACGAACGCUGGCGGCGUGCUUAACACAUGCAAGUCGAACGGAAAGGCCCUGCUUUUGUGGGAUGCUCGAGUGGCGAACGGGGGAGUAACACGUGAGUAACCUGCCCUUGACUUUGGGAUAACUUCAGGAAACUGGGGCUAAUACCGGAUAGGAGCUCCUGCUGCAUGGUGGGGGUUGGAAAGUUUCGGCGGUUGGGGAUGGACUCGCGGCUUAUCAGCUUGUUGGUGGGGUAGUGGCUUACCAAGGCUUUGACGGGUAGCCGGCCUGAGAGGGUGACCGGCCACAUUGGGACUGAGAUACGGGCCGGACUGCUACGGGAGGCAGCAGUGGGGAAUAUUGCACAAUGGGCGGGAGCCUGAUGCAGCAACGCCGCGUGCGGGAUGACGGCCUUCGGGUUAUAAACCGCUUUCGCCUGUGACGAAGAGUGAGUGACGGUAAUGGGUAAAGAAGCACCGGCUAACUACGUG